RNAcentral lists this ribosomal RNA (472 nucleotides) under uncultured bacterium. Its description in RNAcentral is "partial 16S ribosomal RNA". It matches the Rfam family "Bacterial small subunit ribosomal RNA", at positions 28 to 507 of the family's 1533-position model. The record is from RNAcentral.
GACGAACGCUGGCGGCGUGCUUAACACAUGCAAGUCGAGCGGAAAGGCCCUUCGGGGUACUCGAGCGGCGAACGGGUGAGUAACACGUGAGUAAUCUGCCCUUGGCUUUGGGAUAACUACCGGAAACGGUGGCUACUACCGGAUACGACAACCGUCUGCAUGGGCUGGUUGUGGAAAGGUUUUUCGGCCAGGGAUGUGCUCGCGGCCUAUCAGCUUGUUGGUGUGGUAAUGGCCUACCAAGGCUUCGACGGGUAGCCGGCAUGAGCGGGUGAACGGCCACACUGGGACCGAGACACGGCCCAGACUCCUACGUGAGGCAGCAGUGGGGAAGAGUGGACAAUGGGCGGAAGCCUGAUCCAGCAACGCCGCGUGAGGGAUGACGGCCUUCGGGUUGUAAACCUCUUUCAGUACCGACGAAGCGCCGAUGAUGGUGGUGACGGUAGGUACAGAAGAAGCACCGGCCAACUACGUG